AGGACGAACGCUGGCGGCGUGCUUAACACAUGCAAGUCGAGCGGUAAGGCCUUUCGGGUACACGAGCGGCGAACGGGUGAGUAACACGUGGGUGAUCUGCCCUGCACUCUGGGAUAAGCCUGGGAAACUGGGUCUAAUACCGGAUAUGACCUGCUCUCGCAGUGGGGGGUGGGUGGAAAGAUUUAUCGGUGCAGGAUGGGCCCGCGGCCUAUCAGCUUGUUGGUGGGGUAAUGGCCUACCAAGGCGACGACGGGUAGCCGACCUGAGAGGGUGACCGGCCACACGUGGGACUGAGACGACGGCCCAGACUCCUACGGGAGGCAGCAGUGGGGAAUAUUGCACAAGUGGGCGAAAGCCUGAUGCAGCGACGCCGCGUGAGGAUGAAGGCCUUCGGGUUAGUAAACCUCUUUCGAGCGAAGGACGAAGCGACAAGUGACGGUACCUGACUAGAAGA
Molecule: ribosomal RNA, 454 nt
Filed under: uncultured soil bacterium
Lineage: Bacteria
Description: bacterial SSU rRNA
Rfam family: Bacterial small subunit ribosomal RNA
Source: RNAcentral